UGGGGGAUAUUGCACAAUGGGCGAAAGCCUGAUACAGCGACGCCGCGUGGGGGAUGAAGGCUUUCGGGUUGUAAACCUCUUUCGCUAUCGAACAAGGCCCGCUUAGGGUGGGUUGAGGGUAGGUGGAGAAGAAGCGCCGGCUAACUACGUGCCAGCAGCCGCGGUAAUACGUAGGGCGCGAGCGUUGUCCGGAAUUAUUGGGCGUAAAGGGCUUGUAGGCGGCUUGUUGCGCCUGCUGUGAAAACGCGGGGCUUAACUUCGCGCGUGCAGUGGGUACGGGCAGGCUUGAGUGUGGUAGGGGUGACUGGAAUUCCAGGUGUAGCGGUGGAAUGCGCAGAUAUCUGGAGGAACACCGAUGGCGAAGGCAGGUCACUGGGCCAUUACUGACGCUGAGGAGCGAAAGCAUGGGUAGCGAACAGG
Molecule: ribosomal RNA, 420 nt
Filed under: bacterium
Lineage: Bacteria
Also listed under: 1 other name
Description: partial 16S ribosomal RNA
Rfam family: Bacterial small subunit ribosomal RNA
Source: RNAcentral